This 831-nucleotide long non-coding RNA is filed under the name Theobroma cacao (cacao). RNAcentral's name for it is "long non-coding RNA (TCAC_LNC002657)". The record is from RNAcentral. Lineage: Eukaryota; Viridiplantae; Streptophyta; Magnoliopsida; Malvales; Malvaceae.
UAUAACAUUAUAAAAAAAUGUUGUAACAUAUUUUGAAAGACCAAAUCAAUAACUAAUUCAAAUGUUAUAAGUAUUUUGAAAGACCAAAUCAAAUAAUUGAUUCAAUUAAAAACUAAUUCGUUUUUUAUCAUGCUAAAAGGACAGAGUCAAGGUAAGGUAAAAAUAAAGUUGACCCCCAAGGUACAAAAUGUCACUUGGGCUAGCUCACAUGUAUACUGUCAUGACCCGAAACUCUCCAUCAGGCCCGUGACAAUCGUCGCGAAGCCUCGAAGACAUUCUUCACCUCGAAUGCCGAUCGAAACCUCGCAAGACUCUCGUAUCAGCUUUCGCAUUUUCCCGGUGAGCAAUAGUUAUCAAAUAUCGUAAUUUAAAAGAUUACAAGUCAUUUCCAAAUCAAAACAUAACAUAUUAUUUUCUAGCUCACAGGGGCAUUUUCGUCAUUUUUUGUCGAAAAUCUCAAAACUUGCUAAAAUGUAGUAUGUAAGCAGAAAAUAUAUAUUUAGUGAUUUAGAAACAAAUUAAGUAUCUAAAACGUUCAUUUGUAGUGAAAAUAUGACAAUUUGAAUAUAAUAAAAAUAUUCAAUAAAAUAAGCUAUUUUCUUGUAAAAUAAUUUUUUUAAAGCUAUCGGUAAAUAAUUCUUAUAGCGUAAAAAUUAAUUAUAUUCAUAUAUACUAUAAAGCAAAUAACCAAAGUAUAAAAUUACUUUUACAGUGACACGUGGGCUCACAUCUAACCAAAAUGCAUCGGAAGUUGAAAACCUACAACUUUUGCCGAUUCAAGUCCAAAUGAAGGUCCUUAUCAAAGUCAGCUAACUAUAAAAUUCCCUGAGC